This is a long non-coding RNA of Tripterygium wilfordii, 2734 nucleotides long. RefSeq lists it as uncharacterized. The transcript has 5 exons. The record is from RefSeq and is a predicted model, not a curated record. Lineage: Eukaryota; Viridiplantae; Streptophyta; Magnoliopsida; Celastrales; Celastraceae.
AAUAUGUUUUUACCGAUUCAAAACACAAAUCUAAGUAUAACGGAUUUCAUCCUUCCUCCGGCUUUCUCCUUCUCUGCGACUUACCCGGCAAUCUAACCCUAAUCCACAUCCAAAGAAGAACAAUUGCAGUGCAGUCACAGGGGAAUUCAGGGCUUAGCAUGUGGAUAAUGAUACAUGAAAAGCUUAUAAGAAGAAAGAAACGAUUGGAGUUACUUCAGAUGAAGGAUGUGGGCGAGGAUGUUUGCCACUAUGGAUGCUUGGAGUAUGUGGUGCUGGUAAACUAAAGAAGCAUGAUAAUGGAAAUACAAGCAACAAUUCUUUAGAUGAACAACUUGCAUCUGAAGCUUUACAUCCCAAGGAUGAAACUGGUUCAGCUCAAAAUGUGGCUGCCAUAGAUGGGAAAUUAAGUAUUGAAAAUUUUUUACAUUCCCUUGCACAAUGUGAACCAAAGAGAAGGAAAAGAAACUCAUGUUGACAAGAUACAGAUAGGCUGGCUGCUCAGGAUCCUUCCAAUAACAAAAAAUGUAAAGACUAGGUAGGAAAGUUGAGGAAUGUGGUCCUGGGAGAAAAGGCAGCAAUGAAGUUGAAUCUCGGAGUGACGAUGAUAAUGGGGAGCUCGCAGCAGAGAUUUAUUAAGCAUUGCCGAAGAGGACACGCUGGUCUUGUUUUUAGGUCAUUUGCUUAAGAAAAGUCGAGAGGAGGAAAGAAAUUCUGAAGUAAUUUCAAAGGAUAUGAUGUUCCACCAUGAUUUUCAAAAGGAAAGUCAAAAUGAUGUCUAAGGGAUAAGGUCUCAUGUUUACUUGACUGAGUGCAAAUCUUCGACCACUAAUCUUGAUCUCCCAGUAAUAUGGAUGAUGUAUACGAUGUUCACAAAUCCGAUAGGGUAAGUGCAUAUAGAGAUGUAACAUACUUGAAAAUAACAAGGACUGGAUAUAUGCAAAAUUGUUUGUUAGUGCUACUGUCUUGUUGCGUCUCUGGAUUUUGUACUUCGGUAGGUGUUAAAGAUGUUUAAUCAACUGCAGACUCUGUUCCUUGCUAUGGAAGAGGCAAAAGUUGUUUCUAAAUAUUUAUCAUGCCUAUAAGUUGUUAGUAUUUAAAUAAAAUUUGCCCUCUUGGUUAACUUUGGGAAAUCCUAGAUCCUCUAUUCUUUAAAUAGAACUUUAUUUUCAGUACUGUGCAUUUUAAACCUACUAAGGAAACCACAAAUAAAUGGAUAAGCAUUAAAAUAGGGUUAUACAAAAUUGUGUUGUUUGAAUGGCGAAGCUUAAAUCAUUUAGUAGUGAUGGAAUAUCAGCUGACUCAUGAGUCUUUGUCAAGGAAAAAUAGGUGGAACAUUUGAACUUUGAAGGAAUUCAAUGUUGAUUAUCCAGGCCUUACUAUUUCGUUUCUUGUGCAAAAAUGUGAUAUGGUGUUGUUGUAAUGUAUUCUUGUGUCCCUUUUAUCCAUAGUGGGCCUCUUGUUUAUAUAAUCAUGAUCGGCUUGGUCUCAUCUUAUUUGUCUUUGCAAGCAAUCUAUCCUCAUGCUGUAAUGUUAUGGAAUUUGUGGUGUGGGGGUCAGCGGGAAGCCAGCCAGGUGGGAGAAGAUAUAUUUCCUAGAUUUUGAAACACGAACGAAAUAUAAACAAAUUCCUGAUACAGGACCCAGGUGACUUGAGAGGAUAAAUUAAUGAUUUGUAUAUAAAUUAUGAUGCUUACUUGAGGAUGUGUUGUAGUAGAUGGAAUGCUUUUCUGGGGUUGGAUGUAGUUGAAAUAACAAGAACCCCUGUGGACAUUAACCUUGUUCUUUCUGGGAUUUUUAGACCAUGCUAUACUGCUACACUUAUUCAUUUGAUGAUUGAUUUCGGUAAAGCCUCCCCGUAAUAACUUGGUUGCUUGGUAAGUGGAUUUAUAGCAAAUUUUAGAAUCCAAUCUGUUAUGCUAUUUAAAGAUUCUUCGUCUUUGUUUGCUGAGAGGUCUCCACCCUAUCUUACUGUCUUGCUUAAAAAUUCUUCGUCUUUGUUUGCUUAAAUAAUAAUCUUUUUAUCUUGAAGAAUAUGACUUGCUGAGGAUCUAUAUUGUAUUUGCAUAUAACAUAACCAGUCAGCUGUUUAUUUUAUUUUUUUUCAGUUGCCUUUUUAACAUGUUCUGCCUUGACUGGGUUAGAGUUUUUGAUUUUUGGAAAUGUUAGUGUGCCCAAUGCUAGCGUGUCCAAUAUGUUCUGGUGAUUUGAUAUUAGUCUUACUUUUAGCAAUAUAUUCUCCUUUUACAUGAAUGUUUACUUUUUUAUUUCAUGAUGGAUGUCUAUUUCAUAUGGCUUUUUCCAACCACAUCUGGGGUUUGAUAUCAGAUGGUCUUUUGCAUGACGUAUGCUUGCUUGAAACUUCUUUUAUGAAUAAUAAAAUGAUUUUCUGCAUUAAAAUACACAGUCCUUUUUGGAAGAGCCCAGGUUCAUAUUUCCAUAUAGGCGAACAUGUGGCCCAUUGGUAGAUUUGCAGGGGUGGAACCUAGAGGUCAGUAGUUCAAUUCCUAGAAACAAUCUCUUCACAUAUUAUGGGGGGGUGAGAUCUACAUACAACCUGCUUGCUUGUUUUUGAUCCCGCCCACUGCAAGAGGCUUGUGCAUAUCAGCCAACAGGGCGUUUGUUAAGUAUCUACAUGGGAGACAUCAUGCGGGUUAAGCUAAAAGUCAAAUGAAGCUUGAUUUUACCUGGAAAAGAUCUCCGAUGUUGACGAUAAGAGCAUCUUGAUUUGGUUUUA